RNAcentral lists this ribosomal RNA (449 nucleotides) under uncultured bacterium. RNAcentral describes it as "partial 16S ribosomal RNA". It matches the Rfam family "Bacterial small subunit ribosomal RNA", at positions 29 to 523 of the family's 1533-position model. The record is from RNAcentral.
AACGAACGCUGGCGGCAUGCCUAACACAUGCAAGUCGAACGAGAUCUUCGGGUCUAGUGGCGCACGGGUGCGUAACGCGUGGGAAUCUGCCCUUUGGUUCGGAAUAACAGUUGGAAACGACUGCUAAUACCGGAUGAUGACGAAAGUCCAAAGAUUUAUCGCCAGAGGAUGAGCCCGCGUAGGAUUAGCUAGUUGGUGUGGUAAAGGCGCACCAAGGCGACGAUCCUUAGCUGGUCUGAGAGGAUGAUCAGCCACACUGGGACGGAGACACGGCCGAGACUCCUGCGGGAGGGAGGAGUGGGGAAUAUUGGAAAAUGGGCGAAAGCCUGAGCCAGCAAUGCCGCGUGAGUGAUGAAGGCCUUAGGGUUGUAAAGCUCUUUUACCCGGGAUGAUAAUGACAGUACCGGGAGAAUAAGCUCCGGCUAACUCCGUGCCAGCCGCCGCCGUAA